RNAcentral lists this unclassified non-coding RNA (500 nucleotides) under Hevea brasiliensis (rubber tree). Lineage: Eukaryota; Viridiplantae; Streptophyta; Magnoliopsida; Malpighiales; Euphorbiaceae. The record is from RNAcentral.
ACCUGCUAACUCCCUUGUGGGAGACAUUAUGAUGCAUCCAACACCGUCCUCUGGUCCCCAUCGAGCUUUAUACAAUUUCUCUAGCACCGGAAUAACAAAAGCCAAAGUCUUUCCAGAACCAGUUUUCGCCGCACCAAGAAUAUCACGGCCGCAAAGAGAGUGUGGCAGAGAAGCCCUUUGAAUAUCGGUCAUAGUUUUGUAUUUGCACUGAGUUAACCCAUCUUUAGUUUUCUUAGAAACCGGCAACUGACUGAACCUAUCACAACCAGCAUACCUAGAGAAUGAACCAUCCGGAAGACGUCCAACCGGAGCUUUAUGUGGUAAUGGCUCAAGCGACAACGGAUUUGAACCGGAUUCCGGUUUACCUGAUUCUAUCCAUUCCUCCAGAAGCUCAAUUUCAUGAACCUCUGAUAACCGAUUCUGUAUUUUAACUUUCCGUGACUUAGGUGCAUGCUUUCCCAUACCUUUUGCAAUCGCUUAUUGAUGGAAGUGUCCCGCCG